This 469-nucleotide ribosomal RNA is filed under the name uncultured Gram-positive bacterium. RNAcentral's name for it is "bacterial SSU rRNA". It matches the Rfam family "Bacterial small subunit ribosomal RNA", at positions 1016 to 1485 of the family's 1533-position model. The record is from RNAcentral.
CCCUUCGGGGGACAGAGUGACAGGUGGUGCAUGGUUGUCGUCAGCUCGUGUCGUGAGAUGUUGGGUUAAGUCCCGCAACGAGCGCAACCCUUGUCCUUAGUUGCCAGCAUUUAGUUGGGCACUCUAAGGAGACUGCCGGUGACAAACCGGAGGAAGGUGGGGAUGACGUCAAAUCAUCAUGCCCCUUAUGACCCGGGCUACACACGUGCUACAAUGGAUGGUACAAAGGGCUGCGAGACCGUGAGGUUUAGCCAAUCCCAUAAAACCAUUCUCAGUUCGGAUUGUAGGCUGCAACUCGCCUACAUGAAGCCGGAAUCGCUAGUAAUCGUGGAUCAGCAUGCCACGGUGAAUACGUUCCCGGGUCUUGUACACACCGCCCGUCACACCACGAGAGUUUGUAACACCCGAAGUCGGUGGGGUAACCGCAAGGAGCCAGCCGCCUAAGGUGGGACAGAUGAUUGGGGUGAAG